This 552-nucleotide long non-coding RNA is filed under the name Pectinophora gossypiella (pink bollworm). RNAcentral describes it as "uncharacterized LOC126367942". The record is from RNAcentral. Lineage: Eukaryota; Metazoa; Arthropoda; Insecta; Lepidoptera; Gelechiidae.
GGUCGCGUCAACUGUGUUUACGAGUGUCUUGUGUUCAGAUUGUUUUAAGUGAUAAUUUAACAAUAUUUUUCCAAAUAAAUGGAAAGAAACUUUUAUUUAUAUCAAAUAAUUGAGUGUCUCGACUGUGUGACAUUAUGUCUUGUGUGGUAUGGGGCUGCAGCUCACAUUCAGGAAGAAAAGAAAAUAGCCAACAACUUCUGUCGUUUCAUCGAUAUUAAAUCCAAAAGUGUCGACUGGAUUUACAUGAAAAGUCAGUUCAAGAAGACGAGAUGAAAAAUUUAAAAGAAAAGCUGAACAAGUCCCGCCUCAAGAUCAAACGACUUAAUGAAAAAAAAAAACAAUGUGACAGGGUGUCACAAAGACAGUUUCUAAGCAAAUUGACACUGUUUAGAAAUUAAUAAAUUUGUAUUUAUUGUAAAUAUAAUGUACAUAAUUAAUAACGUGUGAAAUAAAUACUUGCUAAUGAAAAUGAACAGAUUUACGAUCUAAUUUAUAUUUCAUUUUACCUCCUGUUCUUAUUUACUCCUACUCCAACACUCCAGGUUGAUACGA